AUGUCGUCCCCACCACCACAGCGGCCACCACCCACCACCACUGCGCCCCCGCCUACCGCCACGCCCCCUCCUCCUCCGGCCACCGCCCCGCAGCCCCUGCCGCGCGCCUUCCUCGCCACCUCCGCCGCGCCGCAGCGUGCCGCCAACUCGACCCCGACCCCGUCGCCGCUCUUCACCGGCCGCCCAUUGAACCCUAACCCUAGCCACCCCUCCCCCGCGCACGGCAUCCUCUACCCCGUCGGCACAUCGUCCACCAUCCCCGCCGCCGCCGCCGCCGCGGCGAACCAUCGCCGCGCCCCCCACGUCGGCGUUGCGUACCCGCGCGCCCACGCCCACGCCGUCGCUGUCCCCGUCACAGCAACGUCUCAGCAGCCCCAGGCGCCAGCGCAGCAGCGGUCCUACGCAGCGGUGCCUUGGGCGGUGGUGGCGGGCGUGACCCCGCGCCCAGAACACCCUCCCCGAGGGGUUCCAAUAGCCCCGCAUCCUCAGCUCAAGGUUAAUGCUGUUCCAGCUGUUACUCCAUCUCUGGCUGCUACUCCAUCUCCAGCUGUUACUCCAUCUCUAGUUGUUACUCCAUCUCCAGCUGUUACCCCAUCUCCAGCUUUUACUCCAUUUCCUCAGGAGCAUGUCACCACAAAGGAAAGAGAAAGUACCAAAGAAAACGCUUCAACUGUGGUGAUCAAUGACCGCAAAGUUAACGUGUUAGACAGUGAGUCAGGAUCCUUGUAUGCUCUUUGUCGAUCUUGGCUACGCAAUGGUGUUCCACAUGAAAUUCAGCCAAGCUUUGUUGGAAACGUUGCACCACUUCUUCCAAGACCUUUGCCUGCUUCAGUUGUAGAUUCUAGGAUGUCAGAAAAGGACAAUGAUGUUGAGAAUCAAGUUUCAGAAGAAGAGCAGAGAUAUGCCCAAGAAAGGAACGCCCUGAGCACCAGAGACGCGAUGGACAGAGUAUUGACCAAUAAUGAUACUGCUGCUGAAUAUACUGUGGCUGACUUGUUGAGGGAGCAUGUAACUCGUGCAAAAAAUAUACGUGCCAAAUUGCGCAAGGAGCGGCAAGUCCGGAUUGAGAGAUACAAGCAGCGCCUUGCACUUCUUUUACCUCCACCACCACCCCCACCUAGCGAGCCAUGA
RNAcentral lists this ribosomal RNA (1131 nucleotides) under Triticum aestivum (bread wheat). Its description in RNAcentral is "partial small subunit ribosomal RNA". Lineage: Eukaryota; Viridiplantae; Streptophyta; Magnoliopsida; Poales; Poaceae. The record is from RNAcentral.